This 73-nucleotide transfer RNA is filed under the name Methanobacteriota archaeon. RNAcentral describes it as "Euryarchaeota archaeon tRNA-Pro". It matches the Rfam family "tRNA". Rfam says of the family: Transfer RNA (tRNA) molecules are approximately 80 nucleotides in length. Their secondary structure includes four short double-helical elements and three loops (D, anti-codon, and T loops). Further hydrogen bonds mediate the characteristic L-shaped molecular structure. tRNAs have two regions of fundamental functional importance: the anti-codon, which is responsible for specific mRNA codon recognition, and the 3' end, to which the tRNAs corresponding amino acid is attached (by aminoacyl-tRNA synthetases). tRNAs cope with the degeneracy of the genetic code in two manners: having more than one tRNA (with a specific anti-codon) for a particular amino acid; and 'wobble' base-pairing, i.e. permitting non-standard base-pairing at the 3rd anti-codon position. The record is from RNAcentral. Lineage: Archaea; Methanobacteriati; Methanobacteriota.
GGGGUUGUGGGGUAACCUGGCAGCCUACCGCCCUCGGGCGGCGGUGAUCCCGGUUCAAAUCCGGGCAACCCCA